AAAAUCGCAGGAAAACUCCUAAGGAGUCAAAUACCCCACAAUGUCCCUCCACCUCUAGCGACAGGUCUUGUCCUAAAAUAUCCCAUCUGCUUACAGUGUGGCCGGUGUUCAGGAUUUAAUUGCUGUCAUAAGUUACAGUCUGCCUACGGGCCGUACCUCCUUAUCUAUCCACAGCUCCACCUUUUAAGCACCCCUGAAGGCCAUGGUGAGAUUCGGUUGCAUCUUGGAUUUAGAUUACGAACUGGGAAAAGACCUCAAGUCUCAAAGUACCACGGAAGAAAUCGAGCGGAUGCUCGGAAGAGUGCCGCAUCACCAUCACGGAGGAAAGCUAGAUUCUCUACAACGCCUUCCAAGAGUCCUACUCCUAGGGGAACGUUCCAGUCCGGAUCUUCCCCGUCUCCUGCUUCUGUACAAUUCCACACUCAACAAAAGCAAUGGUAUAGUCCUGGUGUGGUAGGAAAGGCAACAGCCAAAGACUAUGAAUUCUGUCAGGUUCACUCCGUAUCAGAGAGUGAGUAUGAAAGCAAUCAGGAUGAAAAAUGGGUUAAGUCAAGCCUUAGAAAGGCCUCUGUCUUAACAUAUCCAGUGAAGAAAAUCACCAAGGGACCUAAAAUGCAAAACACAAGGCUCUACAAAAUCAGUACAAAAGAGGCCCAUUCUAGAACCCUGAAGGGUGUUACAAGAAACAGAAUUGGAACCACUCAAACAAACUCUGUUUCUACCAAGAGACAACCUAAGAAAUCCUCCCAGCCCAAAUUCAUCCAACUGCUCUUUCACGGCCUGAGGCAGGCAUUCCAAGCGGCACACAGAAUUGUGACUUUUACUGGACAGAAACUUGAGUAUAAGAUGAGGCCAGACAAUUUGUGGUCAGUCAAAAACUUGCACCCCAAACAAAGAGCCAAGGAU
RNAcentral lists this long non-coding RNA (906 nucleotides) under Rattus norvegicus (Norway rat). RNAcentral describes it as "long non-coding RNA NONRATT024855". Lineage: Eukaryota; Metazoa; Chordata; Mammalia; Rodentia; Muridae. The record is from RNAcentral.